GACAUUUUGUAUUUUUUUUUUUCAGAAAAUAAUAUCUGUAGUAUAUCAAACAGUUGGUGCUGUCUUGGGGCCUCUUCCUGUCAAUGUUUAUUAUGGAAAUAAGUACUGGAAAUGAAGUCUAGAGGAAGGAUCAAUUGUAUGGUGAGAAAUGGGGCUGUGACCAGUAUGAGCCCAAACAAAUUGGACCAAAAGGAAUAUUAUACAAACUUUGGACAUCAUGUGUAGUUAAUCUGUCAUUGUAGCAGUCUGCGUUUCAUCCCAGUAUGGAGCAGUAUCCUUUUAUUCACUGGAAGCAGAAAUAUCAAGAUCUAGGCAGGACAUGACAUGUAUAUACUAUCUUCGACGAGAUUAACAAAUGACGUACUUCCUUCUCGCUCACUGGUCUACUGCUGCUUCUACGCUUUGUGGGUUACAGUGGUGAUGUAAUGUGUGCAUUUUUGAUAAGAAAGUUUGGAAAAAGUCCUGGUAGCUUCAAUGAAGAAUCAUGAAAGUGACUUCCUCUCCUGGGAAUAAGAAUAAUGAUCACAGCAUGAUAUGGAUUACUAAAGAAUGAGUUUGCAACAUGUAAUUAAUUACUUUUUGGACACGUUUGGAGUUCUGGGACUAGAAGGUAAGAAAAAUCCUUUAACAUUUUUGGGGCUUUAGUUGAUUUGUUGUACAAGCCCGCAUAAUAAUAGGAACUUAUAAAUUUCAAU
This is a long non-coding RNA of Agrilus planipennis (emerald ash borer), 695 nucleotides long. RefSeq lists it as uncharacterized. The record is from RefSeq and is a predicted model, not a curated record. The transcript has 3 exons. NCBI's taxonomy places the organism in Eukaryota, Metazoa, Arthropoda, Insecta, Coleoptera, Buprestidae.